This is a long non-coding RNA of Gigantopelta aegis, 425 nucleotides long. RefSeq lists it as uncharacterized. Lineage: Eukaryota; Metazoa; Mollusca; Gastropoda; Neomphalida; Peltospiridae. The record is from RefSeq and is a predicted model, not a curated record. The transcript has 3 exons.
GUUGUUCCAGUUUUGUUUCUGUAGAGGGACUGAGGUUAGCUACCUGCGCAGGACACGAGCUGAUGGUUAGCGACUGGCAAGCUGUUCGUAUCCCGUAUGAUCAACAAUUGACCAGUUCCACCAUCUGAUAGAAUACAACACUUCUCUGAGAAGCACGUUUAAAAUAUUUAAAGAUUUCAGUUUGUUGCGGUGUGUUCAGCAAUGUCUGUUCAGAGCCAGAUGUAAAUCUAUCAACUUUGACGUUCACACACAAUUCUGCGAAUUGAAUGAAGGAACUACCGACAGUCCAUCAUUCAGGAACGGAAGCGUAUUUUCUGAAAUGACGAACUGGCCUAAGAGAAUUUCUCUUGUCUGCGAAAAACAUUACUGUCAAUUAGACAAGGUCUGUGUGAUUGAAAAACGGGCUUCAAGGGUCACUACCUCCU